Molecule: long non-coding RNA, 308 nt
Filed under: Olea europaea (common olive)
Lineage: Eukaryota; Viridiplantae; Streptophyta; Magnoliopsida; Lamiales; Oleaceae
Description: long non-coding RNA (OEUR_LNC003620)
Source: RNAcentral
UUGUGUUCUUGUCAAAACGUUUUUUAAAAUACUCUGUUUCUUGCAUGCCAUCAUGUAAAACAACUCCCAGUCUUUGUUUAGGGCUUAUAUCACUAGUUUUACCACAAUCAAUUGCAGAAGCACCUGUCUCAUACUUAUCGGCAUCCGAUUCAGGGUCGAGAGAAUCCUUAACUUGAGAUACACUUAACUCAAUGCCAUGAGAGUCAUCAAAACGAAUCCCAAUAUCUUCGUAUGCAUCUUCCAUAGUCAUAUUAUCCAAGUCUGAUAGAUGAUCGAUUUCACUUAUUUCAUUGACUGAGCUACUGCUG